RNAcentral lists this long non-coding RNA (18913 nucleotides) under Gossypium barbadense (sea-island cotton). Its description in RNAcentral is "long non-coding RNA (GBAR_LNC018873)". The record is from RNAcentral. Lineage: Eukaryota; Viridiplantae; Streptophyta; Magnoliopsida; Malvales; Malvaceae.
UAUAUACGAAUUAUAAAAUAUAUAAAAAAAAAACUAUUUGUGUAAAGAUUUAAAGAAGGGGGUGUAUUUUAAAAUAUAAAACAUAUCUAUGAAACUGAGUUAAUUAAUAAAAUAACAAAAUAACAAAAAAAGACUAAUUUGAAUUCUAAGACAAAGAUUCGGGGCAAAAUCGAAAGUAAAAUAAAAGGGGAGGACCAAACUGAACGCGUGCACAAUACGGGAGGACCAGAAUGGGAAUUUUUCUUUUUCCUCAAAACGACAUCGUUCCAGAGUGGACCGAAUUGAAAUCGCAAUAAAAUAAUUGCUAAAAAUUAAAAAUUUAAAAAUACCUAAUUAAAAAAAUCUAAAAAGUGGAAAGGCUAAAGGUGCAAUUAGCCCUUCCAACGAAAACACGCGGAUCCUCCCCCAGGGUCGGGUCACCGCCAAAACGGUGUCGUUUUGGCACCUGACCUUUAAUGGCAAAACGGCGCAGUUUUGAGGGGGCUAUAAGUCCAAAAUUUUUUUAAAAAAAUUCAUUUUCUUUCUUCCUCAAAAAACCCCCAGAAAACUCUCUCAAAUCCUCUCCCCCUCUCGAAAAUCCGGCCAGGAGUCCGGUCAUCAGCCGCCGCUCCGGCCGUUGGUGACGGCGGCCGCCUUCCGUGGUGGCCGAUAAAACAAAAAUAACCCCUUUCGAAGCCCUUUACACGUGGAGCAAGGAUCCAAGGCCAAAACCCCCGUAAACGCGGCCAAACCUGGCGGAGCAACGAAGAAACGUGACGCUUCUUCUCCUUUUUUGGCGAGGCCGUCGACGGCGAGUAGAUCGGCCGACGCAGGUGAGUUUCUUUUUCUCUUCUUUUUUUUUUGCUUUGUUUUCGUUUACAAAAUAAAAAAUAAUAAAAAAAUAAAAUAGAAAGACUGAAAUAAAAAAAGAUCACCUUUAAGUUUUUGUUCUCUUUUUAUUUUCUAAUAUCUGUAAAAAAGGAAGUAGAAGUUACAAUUCGUUUGAAUGGGCUUUAUAUAGCCAUUUUUACACAAUUUAUUUUAUUAUUGUUUCUACUGUUUUGUCCUUCUUUGCUUGUGUGUUCUCCUUUGUUUUGCAAGUGGAGUAGAUGGUGCAUGUGGGCGAAACAAUGGCGGUGGCAGAGGAUAGGUGACGGCGACGAUGGUAGUAGAGGGGUCAGAAGAGGCAGUUAGGGUUAGGCAGUAGGCUAGGGUUUCAUUUUUUUUUGAAAUGUUUUGGGCUUAGUGGGCUGCUAGGGUUUUGGGUAGUGGGCCCAGGACAAAUUUGGGCUUGUACAGGAUCUAUGAAAACAUAAAAAAGUAAAAUUAUGUUAGAUUCAAUUCAAUAUAAAAUAUAACUUACUGAACCCAUCCAUGUUAUUUGAACUCUUCAUAAUCCGAACCUGUUUUGGAAGGUGGUCUGCUGGUUCUUCCUCUCCGAGGGUAAGGAUACUGAGCCGAACCUCCAAGAACCGGACGAGCGAGAUCUGCACCCUUAUCGGGAUCACCCAAAUCAUUGUACAAUAUGCAUAGUCAUAAACACGAUCUCCUGUUUUCAACUGUCCAGUCCCAUCUCCCCUCAAGACCUGUAACUCUUCUUCUCUGUAUUCACGCAACGCUGCUGGUUUCUCAUGUGGAAGGUAUGUCUACAAAUAUUUUACAAGAAUGUGAAUUCAGGUAUAACUCAUUUUGAACUGAAGCUAUUAUUUGAAAAAGUGUUCAAAUACCUUGUUUGAGAAGAAGAUUCGUGGUUUUUUAUAUCGUCUAUCAGGAUAAACCCAGAAAUUACAAACGAAGUGGAUCCGACCUUCGCCGGUAACAUUUUCAAGAGUAAUUGUUUUUAAGAAAAACUCAGCCGUAUAAUUAUUUCGUAGGAUGAUAGCUCCAGGGAUUCCAAAUUCCUCAUCCCACUCAAAUGAAACCUUGUACAAGGAAUCAUCACCAGCCAAUAACGGAGUAUAUGCCAGGUUCCAGUAUUCCAAUGCCGCUAACUUCCCCAGCUUUCCACACCAUUUUCAUUUGCUACAGAACAAACCAGUAAACAUUAACACCGUUAUUAUUUCCAAAUUACGAAAAAAAAAAGGAUUUGUUUGGAAACUUGGAACGGAACGAACCAGGGUCGGGAUUUUCGGCACCGACGAGCUGGAGACUGACUUGAUUGCAGAGCAAUUCAAAGAGGCUAUCAGCUACAGUUGAAUGCACGGCGGUGAAGUCCAAAACAUUCUUCUUAACUAUAACAACACUGCCUGUGAUUGUGUUCUUGCUGGGUUUAUUGAGGCCGGUAAUGUCGCCGACAACAUUGCCGACUGAACUCGCCAGAUUUCCAAGAAUCAUGUUCUUGCUGGUCUUGUUAGCUACUACAAAUAUAUGAAGUUGAUAUUUUUGAAGUUGAUGUGCCAAAAUGAGAGAAAUGUUUCGGUAUUUGUAAGGAUUUAGCUAUUACAUUAAUUAAUUAAUUAAUUACUUGAGACAGCUUUAGCAGGAUAUCAUAAGCCUUACUGUAUAGUAUGAAACCUUCUUUUUUUUCGGUGAACGAUGUCCAAAAAUACGUAACUCAUAACGCGUUGGUAGUAUAAAUUACCGGUGACUAAAUUAAGUUUCGUUUAAAUCAAUAAAUUGUUAAAAUUAAUCAAAUUGACUUAAAUUUAAUAUAUGAUUUUUUACUCAUCGAUAGGUAUCACUCCAUCAUAUCGAUCGUCAAAUUUAUUAAUACAUUUAAUUAACAAUAAAAAUAAUUUUUGAUAAAAAUAUCACAAAAUUCAUUUACUGCCGGUCUUUUUAUUAAAAAAAUAGGUAAAUUAACCCAUGUACAGUAGAUGCACAAGUAAAACAGUCCCUCCUUUAAAAUUAUACCAUUAAAUGUUUGUUUUGAUAUUUAUCUAUGAGAUAUAAUAACAAAUUUAAUUCUCAACCUUUACACAAUUAUUUAAUUUAAUCUCUACACCAUUAUUGCAAGUAAAAUAAAAAAUUUUAAAACUAAUAAAGUUAAAAGCAUUCGAAACUUUUAGCGGAAGAGCAUCAGAGGGAAAAAGGAGAAAGCUAGGGUUUUCAAAGUUCCAAGCUCAAUUGCUAACGUUGUGCCGGAAUCCUCGAUUAAAAAGAGAAAAGAUAAAGUUAACGAGGAAUAGCUCAGAAUUUCUGGUUUGUAUUUUUAUAAUCCGAAUCUAAUUAUUAAUUGUUGUAUUUUGAUUUAAUGUUUAUGGCAAGUAGUUGAGGUGAGUAUAUGACAUUUUGAAAUUGAAUUGAAUUGAAUUCAUUGUACAUGUGAUUAUAUGGAAAAUUGAUAUUUAAUAUUGAUUGCUAUUGAAUUAUGAAACUAAAACCCUAUUAACUAUAUCGGGCUGAGUCGGAUAUAGAUGGCAUGCCAUAGGAUUGGAAGAGUUGAGGGAUUAUUUUUACUUUGAGUCGAUGAGACACUGGGUGUCAAUUUAUUACUUUGGAUUAAUUCGAUGAGGCACUGGGUGCCAAUUUACUUCGGUUUAGCCGAUAAGACACUGGGUGUCAAAUUAUUACUUCGAAUUAUCUGAUGAUGUACUAGGUACAAAACUGGUGUAUUUUUGUUGGAUCCGUGUAUCCGUUGUUACAGGCCCAAUUAGCCCGAGCCCGCAUACAAAAUAAUAAAACCAAUAACCAAAAAAAACAGUCCAAUAAAUGUCCAUUUACUAAUUUCAGCAAGUCCAAAACCCCUACCCAAAUUACCAAUAAGCCUAAACCCAAUAUUUUCAACAGCAAAGAAAACCCUAGGCAGCAACCAAGCCUCAGUCGCCGCACGCCCCAACAGCAACCCUCUCGCGUGCCGCUUUCUUUGUGUGUGCCGCCACGUCCUUGUACCUGCAAAACAAACUAGGAGAGUCCAAAAGCAAAAAAAUAGUGUAAAAAAUAGAAAAAAAAAUAGGAAGAUAAGUAUUAUUUUUGGGCUAUAAAAAGAGUCCCGAGUUUGUAUUUUUUUACUUACGAAUGAAUCAAAAUAAAAUAGAGAAAAAUCAAUUUAAGUACAUACCAUUUUCAAAGGUAGUAGUCCCAUUUUUAUUUUUUAUUUUUAUUUAUUUAUUUACAUUUAAAAAAAAACGAAAAUGAGAAAGGAAAAAUAAAAAGCAUACCUUUUUUGUGAAAGAGGUGCCGAUUCCGAUGAAAAUCGAGGACUUUUGAGUUGGGAAGUUGAAAAGGCCAAAAAAUGGGUAUUUUUGGUUUUUCGACCAUCUCGAGCUGUGGCCGCCGCGGUGGUCCGGCACCGGAGCUAGCCGGAUUCUGGAAAUGUGUAAAAGGGGGAGAGAGUUUUGCUUUUGAUUUUUUUGUUCUUUUUAAAAAGAGAGAAAGAAUGAAAUUUUUGAAAUUUUUUUUGGUUUUAUAGGCUAAUAAAACGGUGUCGUUUAGGGCUGGUCUUUAUAGCCUUAAAACGAUGCUGUUUUGAUCCUUAUGGCCCCCAACCCGCGCGUCGACCCGACCUGAAGGGAGGAUCCGCGUGUUUUGCUUCGAUGGGAUAUUUAUGUUGUAGGCCCUUCCGUAUUUUUAGUUUGUUUCAAUUUAGUCCUUUUCGCACUUUUUCUUUUAUUUUUAAAUUGGACCUCAAAGUUUUUUCCGCUAUGCAAUUUACUCCCUGGCGCGCUAAUCCUCUGGGAAGUGACGCGUGUCCAGGAAUCGGGUUUAUUUCCCAUUUAGCCCUCCGUUCUUUGUGCAUGUUUCAUUUUAAUCCUAUUUCAAUUUUUUAGCAUUAAUUUUAUUUACAAAUCUUACCUUUAAUGUCAUUCUGAUUUCAAUGUAGUCCUCUGAUUAAUUUACUUCAUAAUUUGUCUGUUAAUCUUUUUUUUCUUUAUUUUUUAAAAAUCUUUUUAUUAUUCUUAUAUUCGUUAUUUAUUCUUAUAUUUAAGCUUUAAUAUUUCUUCUAUUAAUUUAUUUGUUUUAUUUCUUUACUUUUAUAAUUCAUAAAAUUAUUUUUACAUACAUAUGAUUUGUUUUAUUAUCACAUUUUAUAUUAUUAUUAUUAUUACUUAUUAUUAUUAUUAUUACUAUCAUUGCUAUUAUUAUUAGCAUUAUUAUUAUUUUUAUAUAUCAAUUUACUUAGCUUUUUUAUAUAUACAUUAUUUUAUCCUAUUAUGUACUGUUAUUUUAAGUUUUUUUAUUAUUAUAUAUUAUUAUCUAAUCUCAUAAUGUAUUGGUUUAUAUAUUUUUAUUUUUUUAAAAGGUCCAACAUGAUCUAUAUAUUUUUUAAUGAUUUUAUAAUACAUUUUUUAAAAAUUUAUUUAUAUAUACUUCUAUGCUUUUAAAUCAAUAUGUUUUUAUUUUGUAUACUACUUAUCCGAUUUUCUUCCUAUGCAACAUUUAAUUUAAAAUUCAUGUGUAUAUAUAUUUUUAAUUCUAUUUUUGAUAUUUCAAGUUUUGAUGUAUAUUAUUUAUUUUAAUUCUUUUUUUUUACGUAUAAGUUAUUGUUCAUGCAUUGAUGAUUUCAAAUGUUCUAUCUUUCAUGCUAUUUUUUUUAUUUUGUUUGGUGUUUCUUUAAUUAACUUUCAAUUCAUUUAGUUUUCUAAUGUUGAUACUGAUAUUUGCAUAAUGUAUAAUUGAGAUUAUUGUUGUUAUGCUCGUUUAUAUUUUAUUUAUUAAUCAUUCAUUAUUCAUUAGUGUACAUUUUAUCCUCAAAUUAUCCUUUUGCAUUGUACAUAAUCACUCCAUCGCAUUUUAUUCGUUUAAAAGGUUACGUAUAAUAUCGUUCAAGUAUCAAAAUUAUCUUAUUCAAAAGUUUUCAAAAUAAUACUAUUUGUCAUUUUUGGAACUUCGAGGAUCCGUGCCCUAACUUACGGGGUUUUUGAUAUUCUCGUCGAACUAAAACGGUUAAACAUUUUUAGUUUUCAAAUGCACCAAGUUUCAAUAAAGAUUUUUAAAAGGUUAGCUUAUACUCGGGAAUUCAAGUGUUGCAUCCUAACUUGCGGGAUAUGUCAUUUUGUGCCUCGGGAUGAGAAGGCCUUUUUACAUCCAGGUUUAUCCAAGUAUUGUUUUAAAAAAUAUGGCAUUAAUAAAAGGGGAAUCAUUUUCAAUCUUUUCAAAUUUUUGACGUUCGACUUUAAGACAUUAAUAAAUCAAUUAGGUACCAAUUUUGGGCGUUUCGAGGGUGCUAACCCUUCCUCGUACGUAACCGACUUCCGAACCCAUCUUUAAUUCGUAGAUUAAAAUCGUUUUCAAUGUGAUCCGAUCACAUCUUAACAAAAGAUCGGUGGCGACUCCAAUUUUUAUUUUUUUAAGUCGACCCAGUUUUUUCAAAAUAAAAAUGGUUUAGACAUCCGUCAUAGUCCGAGUCGUGUUAAUAGGGGUGGUUAACUGAUAUAAUACUAUAAUUGGUAUUGGAAAACAUUGAAUGUGAAAAGCUAUUUGAAUAGCAAGUAUGAGAUUUGAAAUAGCAGGAGAUGAGAAUUGAAUAUGUUAUAAAUGAUGUGUUGAUGAAUUGAUUAAUUGAAUGAUUAAUGUUAUUGUGUGAUUAAAUGUAUAUAUUAAAUUAUCUUGCCUUUAAUAUUCGGAUUAUAGAAAUAUAUACCACUGAUUUUAUACUCAGCGUAUGGUUUGGUUUUCCGUGCGCAGGUUAGGUACUUGAUUUUGUUUGUCGAUUCAGCAUCCAAACAACGAUCAUGAUCUCAAAUGUGGUGAUGUUUAUUCCUUUUGUAUCGGCAUGUACCUAGGGCGUCUAAAUCUUAACUAUUUUUGUGGAUUGAUUGUAAAUAAUAUUAUAAAUUAAUAUUGGUUGGUUAUAUAUAUAUGAGUAUAUGUUAUAUUAAAGCUCUAAUAUGGCAUGUUUUAAAUUAUUGCAUAAAUGAACAUGAUAUAGGUAAAUUAGAUUGAAUUUGGUAUCUUUACAAAUUUGAUUUGAAUGAUGUUUAAAUUAAUAUGUUUUGAUAAUGUAAUUGUGGUACCUAUAAGGGUACAUUGGUCAGACAACUAGGUUGAUUAUUUUGACAUGUUUUGAAGAUAUUUGAUUGUGUUUCGAAUUGGUUGAACGAUUGAUUUUUGAGUUGCUUAGUGUCCAAGAUUGCAGGGAAUGGUAAACUUGAUGUUUAAGGUACAUAUUGAGUCCACACAGCCAGACACACGGGCAUGUGACUGGGCUGUGUAAGACACACGGCUAGCACACUGGUGCGCGAAGUCAUUUUGAUAGGGCACACGGUCUGGCACACGAGCAUGUGGCUUGGUCGUGUGACCCAAGUCAGAGAGUUACACGGGUAUAGACACGGGCUGGGACACGGCUGUGUGUCCCUAUUUCGAAUGCCUACACGGCCUGACCACACGGUUGUGUAAACCCUGCAGCUUUGAAAAUUUUUUAAUAUUUCGCAAAAAAUUCUCUGAGUUUUCGAAUUAGUCCCGAUUUGUUUCUAUCAUGUAGUUUGGGCCUCGAGGACUCGAAUAAGGGAUAAUAUGUAUGAGUUUGAUUGAUUUUGACUUGAAUGUUAUAUGAUAUGAAAUGUUUUGAAAUUAUGUCUGUUUGAUCGGUAAUGCUCUAAAACCCUAUUCCGGCGACGGAUGUGGUUAGGGGUGUUACAUCUUAACAGAUUUAUGGGCUAAUUUUAAGGAAAUUAAUUCUACUUUAUCUUGGAUAAUAUUGGAGGCUAUUUAUCUUGAUUAUUUUAUUGAAGAAGAGUUUAUAUUAAAUUAUGAUUAUCAAAUAAACUGUCGUAUUAAGCCUGUAAAUAGGCAGCUAAUUCGCAUGGAAGAUGCAUCUUUUGGGAGAGAGUGUUUUGCGGAAUUUUUUAUUAUUUUAUGAUAUUUUCCCUUGUAUUUUUGCACUUUUUUAAUAGGCAAUCUUAGUGAGAGAUUAAACUUGUGUAUUGAGGUUUUGGGUGAGUGAUUGUAAAAAGUUGGGACUAACUAUUGGAGUUGUAAUUACUUUUUUUGUGUAAAAGUAGAUUAGGUUUUAGAUGAUAGACGGUUGGAUCAAUUGUGGAGUAAAAUCAUUAACUGAGUGAGGCUUUACAAAGUAAGUUUAUUUCUGAACUAUGUUAAUAAAUGGUUGAGUGGAAAUCUCUCUUUACUUCUUUGUUUUUCAUUUCUGUUUCACUGUCUGAUCAAUACUAUAACUAAACACAACCUUGAACAUACAUACUGAACUUGAAUCAAACUGACGUGUUUUUUCAUAUAUAGCAACAUUAAAAUCUAGCUAAAUUCAUAAUAAAGUUGCAUUGAACCCUAAAUUACAAAAUUUUUCUAGCAUUGUUUUUUCUGCCCAAAACUCAAACUUGAAAUCGUGUUUAAGGGAAUAUUGAGUUCAUUAUCAAUUAUUAUUUGAUCCAACUUGAUAUAUUUUCAUCUAUUUUAUAUUCAUAUUUAAAUUAUUAUAUAUUAUAUAUAAAUUUUGAUAUAUUAGUUAUUUGUGUUAUAUAAAAUAUAAUAUAUAUUUUUUGUGUUGUGUUGUGUUGUGUUAUAUAAUUGAAUGGUAAAUUAUCAAGACUAAUUUAAAGGCCAAAAACCUAGCAUAUAUAUGAGCCACCAACUUACUGUAAGUAUUCCCAACAUUUUACACCUUUACUCGUCUCUAGUGAAAUGUGUAGCACGUUUAAAUUUGUCCAUAUCUACACACUAUAAUGUCAAAACCAUUCAUUUUAUUGACACUUGUCUAAAUAAACAAACAAAGUUGCUUUUUUUUUUUUAAAUUGGACCACCAUUUGUUUGGCAUAAAUUAAUAAUGCAAGGUGUUGAGGAUUGAUUCAUAUAAAUAACGAGAUAAUAAAAAUUGAAAAAAAUGAAUAUAAAUAUUUUAUGUGAAAAUUUUUAAAGAGGGAAAAAUUACGGAUAAUGGAGAUUUUAGUUUUUCAUUAAAUGAAUAAACAAAUGAGAGUAAAAUAUAGAGAAAAAUAAAUCUACAUAACCCAAAACUUCAAAUACAAAGCUUAAAAUCCUAAAUCUCAUAAGACACUCAUAAAAAGGAUAUAAAAUACUUUCUAUAAUUAUCACAAAACUUUGACCAAAACUCGUAUGCAAUUAUAUGUUGUCAACCUCAAAGAAAAGCCUUUGCUGAUUAAUCUCACAAAAUAGGAAUACAAUAUCCCUUUAAAUAGACUAAAAUUAGAGUUCUAUUAAUAUUAAAAUAUCUCUAAAAUAAUUAAAGUCUAAUUAAAAAAAAAACAUUCUUAAAAUUUAAAACUCAGCUGUCAAAUAGAAAAACACAUCGCCAUGUCAUGAGGUCCCGAGCCACACAAUCGCGUUGUCAUUAUUUUUUUAUCUUAACGUCACUGUCUGCUUCUCCAAAAAUACGAGUAGACUCCACACAAGGUAUACGACAAAGAUAAGAGAAGAUUUUAAAAAUUAAUCUAUAAGGCAUGGUCUUUUUGCCACGUAAAAUUUUGCUUUAAAGCAUUAUACAUACACUUGCAUAAAACACCCCCAUAAUUCACACGAGAAAAAGGAAAUAUUGCAGACCCCUGUUCACAUGAGAAAAAAAAAUUAAUAUGUAGUUUACCGUUAAAUUUGUUUAAAAAUAGGGUUUUUUACAAAAUUAUUAUAAAAAAAUAAAAAAUAACUAAAAUAUUAUAAUUUUUUUAUUUACCAAAAUAUACCAAAAAAACAAAAAACAGAAAAAAAAUCGAUUUGACAAUAUCUUAGUCGUGCCAAGGUGAUUGGCGGCACCAAAGGUGCCAAAGUUAUUGGCGGCACCAAUGGUGCCAAGGAGAUUGGCGGCACCAAUGAUGCCAUACUGAUUGGCGGCACUACUCGUGUUAUAAACACGAGCUCUGUCCAGUUGAAGGGAGAAAAAUCAGAAGAAAAAGAAGAAGAAGAAGAGGUGUGGCGGAAAAAAAGAGAAAAAGAGAGAAAGAGAAGGUAUUUUUUUUAAAAUAAUUGAUUAUAUUGUUGUUAUUGUUUUGUAUAUUUUGUAUUAUUUUUUUGUUUUAGUUUAGUUAUUAUGAUUAAUAAAACUCAAAUUGAUAGUUUUAGUUAGUAUUAUUAUUAUUAUUAUUAUUAUUAUUAUUAUUAUUAUUGUUAGUAUUAAGAUGUUUUUAAUGUAUUAAGAUGUAACUUAGUAGUAUUAUUGUUAGUAAAAAACUAGUAUUAUUAUAGUUAGUUAGUUAUUAUUUUUAGUAAAACCCUAAUUAAUAAUUUUAGUGUGUAUUAUUUUGAGUAUAAAAUUAUUAAUAUUAUUAUUGUGUUAGUUAUUAGGAUUAGUGGUUAAACGGUUUUCAUGUACAAAAUUGCAUAUUGAAACAUUAAAUUUUUUUUAAGUAAUUUAUUUACCAUUCGAGAUUUUUUAUGAGAUUUUGUUUAUUUUUUGACAGAUUAAAUAUUGAAGAUGGAUGCUAAGUUUAUUGUAUGCGUUUAUUUCGAUGGAGUCAUCUUGACAACAAGUGUUGGAUGUGUAUUUGAAUGUCGGCAACAAAUAGCAAUGAGAUUUAAUAGAAAUGUCUCGUUCGAUGAAAUGAAGGCAAGGAUUAAUGCAAAAAUUCUUAGAUGUUGUGGGAGAAUGAUAUCAAAAAUUUUCUACAAGUUUCCAGUUUCAACAAAUUCGGUCAAAUUCGUCGAAAUGGAACUUGUAGACGAUGAAGACGUGGAGACAAUGGUCGAUCUCUACUGUAGGAAUGGGAGUGAGAAGAAUGCACCGAUUCACUUAUUUGCUGAGUUAGUCGGUAUGGAGUAAAAUGAAGAUGUCAAUGCAUCUGAUGAAGAAGACGGAGCUGAAGAACCGUGGAUAGUGGCUCCAAUAUCAUACGUUGAUAGUGAAUCGACUAUGGUGGGAUGGGUAUCAACCUAAAUAUUACCCCCAAGUUGAUAUGGUUGGUGGUGAAGAAGACGGUGCUGGCGAAGAAGAAGGUGGUGGCGAUCAUUGGGAUGAAGAGGUCGAUAGUGACGGUGAUCCCGAUGUGCAUUAAACCCCUAAAAUUGAUGGUUCGAUGGUGUUGUCCUAGGGGUAUGCCUAUUCGGAGGUCGACGAUAACGUUCUGAGUGACGACCAACAUCAUCAUUCGGCGCAGGUGGGGGUGUUGCAAAUAUAGAGGAAAAAUUCUAUGGCUCGUUCGGCACCGACGAACUUGAACCGAAAUGAGUCCCAUGAUGCUGCGGGUCAGACGGGUCGGGCAUGCCGUACUGCGGCGGGUAGGAUCCAAACAGUUCAUCCGGGUAGGCAUAUUCGCCUCCUGCGAAGCUUGAAAAAUAGUCAUCGCCCGCCAAAUCCGGACGAUAGCCAUGUGAAUCCAAAUUUGACUGUGACUGUUCGGGAUCUGGCUGGGGCUCCUGCUCGGGCUCUGCUGGUUGUGGAGAAUAAUAUGCCACCGGUUCCGAAUCCACCGGGCUUGUUGCGUCUGAUCCCUCAAGUUGCUGCACGUGCGGGGGGAUUACAGUCGACUGGCCUCCUAAUAUAUAUGGCUUCUCGCAACUAUAGUACCAUUGUAUAUACUCUAAUGAUGAUUGUGGGUCGGUAGCCAUAACCAUCUGAGGUAUUCGACGCAAUCGAUCGUUCUACAGUGCCACAAAUUUUCGGUGCUUAAUUUCCCAAUCCAUUUGAAAUCUUCCUCUCUUAGUCAUGUCGUGAACUUUCCCCACCUGGCACGGUGGAUCCGGGAUAGGUUGGAUGCAGCCAAACUGUCGUAGCACCCGAUCUCCGUGAUACCACUCGACUACGUUGAAAUUGAUAAUUGGUGCGUUAGUGCACCAUAUGUGGGAAUCAACGUAUGCGGACGAUGGUACAACAUUUGUAAUUUUCGGCCUACGGUAUGGCAUCCAUAUAAACUGCAUGAUUAAUAACAUUGUAACGAGUUAGAGCCAUAACGUGUGAGUAAGAUAUAGAAAUAGCGGAGGUAUGUCAUGAAUAUUAGAAUAGCAGCUUACCCCUUUUCGGGCAUGCUGUUCAAUCAUGAGGCGGUAUAUCAGGACAUAAUACGACUUCCUGAUGCCUGGACGAACACUCCACCUACAAAAAAAAUAGGGUUUAGGGUUGGUAACAUUAGUCAAUAUAUUAUGACUACAAAUAAUGACAAUUUAUAUUUUAUCACUUGUUCAGUAGUGGAUACACAUACGGUUGGUGACUAACGGAUGCCAAAAACGGUAGCCGAUAAAGCGCCCAGGACUGCAGCAGUAUGAGGCAUCCGCCCAUGUCUACAACAUCCGGGUUUGUCACUCGACAAAGCUCCCGGUACAACAUUGCUAGAACGGCGGAGCCCUAGCUAUACGACCUAGCAGUGGACAAAUCAGCUAACAGGGGCAAGUACAUCAAAUGCACAUUGUCGCCGUUUGCAUCAGGCAUUUUUUCUUCUCCUUUCCUCUUCUUCUUCUUUCUUUUUUUUUCUCUUCUCAUUUCCUUUUCUUUCCUUCUUUUUCUUUCUUUCCUCUCCUUCCUUUCUUUCUUUCUUUCCCUCUCCUUCCCCCCCCACCACCGACCGGCCCUAUUAUACCAUUGGUGCCGCCAAUGGCUUUGGCACAUUUGGUGCUACCAAUCACCUUGGCAUGACCAGGGUGUUGUCAAAUCGAUCAGGUUUUUUUUUUCUGUUUUGGGUAUAUUUUGGUAAAUAAAAAAAUUAUAAUAUUUUGUUAAAUAAAAAAAUUUAUAAUAUUUUGGUUAUUUUUUAUUUUUUAUAAUAAUUUAGUAAAAAACCCUUAAAAAUAUUUAGUCGGUACCUUUUUUUCUUUACCUAGUUAGUAUUUGAGCUUUUAUUCUGUCACUUAGAUUAGUGUCUUUACUCUAAUAUUAUAAAUUUGUGCUGAUAUGACAUUAAUAGUUAAUCUGGUGGUGAUACGUGAUAACCUUUUAGUAUGCCAUGUGACGAGCAUAAAUUUAAAAUUUUUAAAAAAUUCUUUAAAAAUUAAAUUAAUAAAAAAGAGUAUAACUCUUUUCAAGGUUCAUUUUCGAUGAAAAAAAGUACAUAUUUUAAAAGUUUUUAAAUUUUAUAUAUGCUACCUGACAUAUUGAGAGGUUAUCAUGUGUCACUGAUAGAUUGGUUAUCAGUGUUACAUCAAUAUAAACUAACAAUGCUAGUGUAGAGGCACUAACCCAAAUGACAGAAUACAAGUUCAGGUGUCAUCUAGGUCCAAAAAAAUAUUCAAGUACCAACUAAAUACUUUUAAACAAGUUUAAGGGGCAAACUAAAUAUUAACCCAAAAUAAUUACCGAAUAUUUUCAUUACAACAAAAGUUUAAUUUAUUUUUUUAUAUGAUUUUGUUAUAAACUUUUUCUUUCACAUUAUAAGUGUAACAUUAGCUAGUAUAAAUAAAAUAUUUUUAUUAAUAUUUAAUUUUUUUUUCUAAUUCAAACGGGAAGAGGAAGAGAUUACACCGAAAGAUUGAAUCUUAGACAAAAUUUAAACCCACAAAAGUUAGUCGCAACUCGCAAGGCUUUUAAUUUUUUUAUUUUUUUAUUAUUUAAUUAUUCCCUCCUUCACAAUAAAGUUGUUAUAUUUUUUUUACUUGUGAUGAUUAAUUUUUUUCAAAUUUAAUAUUUUAUUAUUUAAUAUCUUUAUUCGUAAUAUUUUAAUAAUUCAACCAUUAAAUUUCGUAUUUCAUUCAUAUAGAUCAUGCAUAUCAAAUUUGACAUGCAUUAAAAAAAUUUAAUUAUUUGUUUUAUGUAAAAAUUUCAACCGUUCAAUAAAUAUUAAUAUAUAUAAUAUUUUAGAUCAAAAUAAUAGAAACAUUAAAUUAGUUUGAAAUUUUACAUAUAUGAUAAAUACAAUUAUGCCAACACAUUUAAUGGUUGAAUUGUUAAAAUAUUAAUACUAUAAAAUAUAAAAAAUAUUUUACACAAGUAUAAGUAAAUUUCUUUAUUUAUUCGGGUUAAUGGUAUCAAAACAUAUUUGUAUUAAUUAUUAGUACAAAAUAAAUUUUUAUUAUGAAAUUUGUUCAUUUUCAUUUUUAGUAAAUUUAUAAAUGUUCUCAAUUUGAUCCUAAUUCUAAAAAACUUAAAGAAAUAUAAAAAUACAUAAAUAUUUUCAAAAAAUAUAUAUAAUAAUAAAUUUAUAAUUGAUAACAUUUGUAAAUUUUGAGUGUUAUUUUUUAAAAUUAUGACUAAAUCAAUAUAAUAUGUAAAAUUUGAAAGGUAAAUUUGUUAUUAUACUAGUUUUUUUAACUGCCACGUUAGCUUAUUGUUUGUGAUUUUAACAAGAGUGACCAAAAUGAUCAAACUAUUUUAGCGGGUACUUAAAAUGCAAACUUAUUAUUUUGAGUGCCUAAAAUGAAUUUUUUUUAUAGUUAAAUAAUUCUGUGUAUAGAAGAAAAACCAUUUAUUUUAUCUUUGAUUUUGUAAAUUCUAUCAUUUAUCUUUUACUCCCAAAUAUGUGAUGCAAGUGAAUGAGUGAGGUUGUGGGGAUAGACUUGAUCAUCACGACUCACGAGGGUUAUUGACCAACACAACUCCUGGUGUUCCAAAAUCUUCAUCCAACUCAAAUUUAACAUGGAUUUCUCUGUUCCAUUUCCAUCCCACUAGGUAACUUCUUUUCUACCAUUUUUAAUUAAUUUAUUACCUGCUGAUGAUACAACAAAAAUUAUUAUUAAUAUUACUUACUCAUAGAGUAAAUAAAUAUAAUGGCUUUAGUCACGUGCUAGUUGGUACAAUCAUAAACACAUAUAUUUAUAAUGGUAGAGUAAACUCUUUGUAGUCUUUAACCAAAUAACUUAUUAUCAACCCACUUAAGAUUACGCUUUCAAAGGAAAUUAAAGCUUCAACAAAUACACUUUUGUUUAUAUUUAUUUUUUUGGUUGAAUAGUUAAAUGAUAAUUUUAAUGGAAUAAUAAAUAAGUUUUAAAUGAUUUAUUAAACAAGUUUUAAACGAACAUAAACGAGUUUGUUCAUGAAUAUAUAUGAAUUACACAAACUUUGCUUGUGUUUGGUUCGUUUAAUAAACGAGCCUCAAAAUCUUGUUCAUAUUCAUUUAUUUGGUUUAAUAAAUGAACAAAAAUCAAACUAUUCAGUGAAUACUCUGUUCAUUUACGACCCAAGUUGUUGCAUAUAAUAACUCCUCAUCUCUUUUUUUUAGUUUUCCUAGUAUUACUUAUGGACCGAAUUGACUUAUAACCAUUAAAGGAAAUAUAUCCAAUUGAUUGAAGACUUAUCUUGUGGUGUUCUGAAGAUAUUUUGUGUGUUGUUUAUCUUAAUUAGUUGGAGGGAUAAUUUGUUAUUAACUAGACAUGAUCAUGAGUUGGGUCACUCACUCAAACCUGAAGGUUUACUUGAAAGGUGAGAGUUUGGGAAAAAAUAUAGGCCUAAAAACUGAGUUUGGAACAAAAAAAAUAAGGUCCGUUUUCUAAAUAGGUCGGGCGUCAGGCAUAAUUUUUUUGCCUAAACUAGGUCUGGUCUGAAUCACAUGCAUAUACUUUUUUUUUGUAUUUUUAAUUUGUAAGAAACAUUUAUUUUAGUAUUUUUAGUGUAUUAAUUGUAUUAUGUUUUUAUAUAAAAAAUCUAAAAAAAUUAUUACGACAGCUAAGUCAAGUUUGGGUUUAACAUUUUUAAAUUGUGUUGGCUUUGCAAAAUUUUAAGCCUAAUUUUCAGGUUGUAUCAAGCCUGUACCUAGAAAGCAAGCCUAAAAUUUUGUAUUGGCCCAAUCCAUGAUCAAACCUAAUUAUUAACAAAUUUAAUAUUUUAACAUCACUUAUAUAGGGUGACAACUUGUAUAGAUAUUGUAUUGAUAGAAUAGUUUGAGGGUUUUUUUUUUUUUUUUGAUAUAUUAGCAAAGGCUUUCAAUUUUCAUUGGUUGUUAAAAUUUUCAAUUUCAUUAUAAUUAAAUUGUUUCUUGAUGGAUUGGCUAAUCUAUGUAAGAAAAGCAAGAAAAUUAUGGAGAGAGAAGGCAUGAUGAUUUUCAACCAACCCCAUCAUGAUAAUUUUGAAUUUAUUCAUAAUAAAUAACAUAGCAGCAUUAAACUUGGAAUAACACUAUCAUUCCAGAAAAUUACACAAAAGUACGGACAACAAUACUUUUGAUGUGCUGCACCAACACUUAUUUCAUGCAAAUUAUUCCCUUACUUAUCUUUUACUUAAAUUAUAUUGAGAUGCUAUUGGGAAUUCCCUUACCAGAAAUUCCAAUUUCACCGGUGGGAUGGAGCAAAUUAUAAGGAACAUUAACCUGACCGACCCGGUUCUUCAGUUUCUUGUCGAUGUUCAUCUUUAAGAUUUCCCCUUCGAUUUCAGCAAGUCUCCUAUUGAAAGCAUCCGAAGCUUGUAGCGGAACUGCAUCAGUGGUCCAGUUGGGGGUUCGCUGUCCAAGAUACACCUCAUCCGAUGCGUGGUUUGACAGCGUUUCGACCACCGUAAUGACAAUCAGGGACUGUAGCUGCGAAGACAUGAUUCUAAAGAAGACCUUCUCAGGGUUCUUUUCAAGCUCUGCAUACUCAGGGGUGCCUUUCUCAGGCAUGAACCUUCGGCUUAGUGUUGGGCGGUUGGGGAAGUAGCCUCCGUAAGCGUAUUGUCCGUAGUUGACAGCUGCAUGGAGUGCAGAAGCGAUCCAUAUGAUAAUGGUGCAAGAUUGUAUCAGGUCUUCAAGGUUCUGCAUUUUAGGCCACCAUGGCUCGUCUUUCUUGUCACCAUGACCCACCUCUCGGAGUUCCUUCCACCAGGCUUGAAGUUCAGGGUCCCGUUGAACCAUUUCAUCGGUCUUGUAGUAGAAUGAGCAGUAAUCUCUGACCCAUUUUUCAAUAGCAAACCAGAUCUUCAACCCAUCAACAGCAUAUGGGUAGUCUUUUAUUAGUAACCGGUCAAGGUCGUCCAGAGAUUUUAUAUCACCAUCUGCGAUCCCUCUGAUAAAACAAAAGGCCAUACCAUGGUUAAUAAAGGGUUUGGUUCAUUAAUUUAUAAGAUAAUAUAUUGUUGUUAUUAUAAUACCUUUUCUUGAGAUCAUUGGGAAGAGCCUGAUCCAUGAAAUUCCAACUCUUGUAAAUCACAGAUGACAUCUCUAGAGAGUAUUUUCCAGGGCAAAAUGUCCUCUCUAUAAUUCCAUUAGCAUUAAUGAGCAACUCUCUAGCCAAUGCAUUGAUGGUCAUGGUGUCACGGAAGUGAGGAUGGAGAAGCUUAUAAAUUGGAUGAACCACACUCAGCUGUCUGUUUGUUGCAAUUACGAAAGGCUCUAUCACUGCAUGAGUGUUCAACCUGACACCAAAUCAAAAACACACCCGAAGUUUAGCUUCAAAUCAUCACUACCUAAUUAACACUGCAUAUAUAUGUCCUUACCAGUGGCUCACUAGCUGAUGGUGACCAGAAUCAUUCACAUUUACAAAAGCUUUAGCAAGCAUCCAAAUCCAACCCUCAACUCCAUGUUCAGCUGGAGUGUAUACUUUGUUAACACAUCCUAUUUUAUCUUCUUCCAUUUUUGGCAAGCUCAACUCAAUGGCCACAGGCUUCAAUGUACCAUCCCCUCUCAAGAACAGAAUGGUCCUCGAUGCAUAUGUCUUUGCUUCUGUAUACUCGUUUAUCGUCUGAAGGUAAGGCAUAAUUGUAUCGUGAUGAUCCAAUAUAAAUAGCCUUUUCCUACUGAGUGCCUGCGCCACGUCCAUGUUCGUUAGUGAUGAGAUACUAAGGUAUGAAAAUAUAUUAAAAAUAAAAUAUAUUACCUCUUCAACAGUAAGUCCAUCUAAGUUAUACUCGAUGUCUUGUUUGGUUAUUGAACUGUCCUGAUUAACAUACACUUGAGGAUCUAAGUUGCUCACUGGAGGGAAUUCCUGCAAUUGAUUUCAUAGUGUUAUAAGCUAAGAUAUAUAAACAAAAUAAAGUGAUUGACUGAGUUGUUUUCUAUUAAGCUUACUUUGAGGAGCUGAAUAAGAAGAGGGUUCAAUCCUGCAAGCAUUUCUCUGCCAAAUUCCUCAUCAGUCCUCCAUGCAAAGGGAUUACUCCGAUCUGCUCCAAAGUUAUAAACAUAUUAAAAUGAAUACGUACAUACAUACAUGCAAUAUUUAACAACGUUAAAAUUUAUUCACCUUCAAUCAGUUUAGGCACAGGAAAUUUUAAGAGUUGCUGGCCAUCAGAUCGGAAAAACUCCCCCAUCAUCUCUAAAGGGAUGUUGUUAGCAACUUGAUUGAUAAGAUCAGUAGGAAGUGGGAGUCCAUUGAAGAAGAGAUUGUCCACGUCUUUAAAUGAGUCGAACUCAUUAGGAGUAUAGUUAACAAAAGCUUCCAGUAAUGGUAUGAUUUGAUUAACUAAGCCUUUCAGAUUAUAAGCAAUAAAGUCCGACAGCUUCAAGUGAGCAAACUGCUCAUCUCGUGGGACGUAAACGUUAAGAAUAUUCGGUAGGAAAAGCCUGCUCUCUGUCUUUGGAUCUAUGAAAACAUAAAAAUGUAACAUCAUGUUAGAUUCAAUUCAAUAUAAAAUAUAACUGAACCCAUCCAUGUUAUUUGAACUCUUCAUAUGAUCCGAACCUGUUUUGGAAGGUGGUCUGCUGGUUCUUCCUCUCCGAGGAUAAGGAUACCGAGCCGAACCUCCAAGAACCGGACGAGCGAGAUCUGCACCCUUAUCGGGAUCACCCAAAUCAUUGUACAGAGCAUAGUCAUAAACACGAUCUCCUGUUUUCAACUGUCCAGUCCCAUCUCCCCUCAAGACCUGUAACUCUUCUUCUCUGUAUUUACGCAACGCUGCUGGUGUCUCAUGUGGAAGGUAUGUCUACAAAUAUUUUACAAGAAUGCGAAAUUCAGGUAUAAUAUUUCAUUUUGAACUGAAGCUAUUAUUUGAAAAAGUGUUCAAAUACCUUGUUUGAGAAGAAGAUUCUUGGUUUUUUAUAUCGUCUAUCAGGAUAAACCCAGGAAUUACAAACGAAGUGGAUCCGACCUUCGCCGGGAACAUUUUCAAGAGUAAUUGUUUUUAAGAAAAACUCAGCCGUAUGAUUAUUCCGUAGGAUGAUAGCUCCAGGGAUUCCAAAUUCCUCAUCCCACUCAAAUGAAACCUUGUACAAGGAAUCAUCACCAGCCAAUAACGGCGUAUAUGUCAGGUUCCAGUAUUCCAAUGCCGCUAACUUCCCCAGCUUUCCACCAUUUUCAUUUGCUACAUAACAAACCAGUAAACAUUAAC